AUUGAACGCUGGCGGCAUGCUUUACACAUGCAAGUCGAACGGCAGCGCGGGCUUCGGCCUGGCGGCGAGUGGCGAACGGGUGAGUAAUGCAUCGGAACGUGCCCAGUAGUGGGGGAUAGCCCGGCGAAAGCCGGAUUAAUACCGCAUACGACCUGAGGGUGAAAGCGGGGGACCGAAAGGCCUCGCGCUAUUGGAGCGGCCGAUGUCGGAUUAGCUAGUUGGUGGGGUAAAGGCUUACCAAGGCGACGAUCCGUAGCUGGUCUGAGAGGACGACCAGCCACACUGGGACUGAGACACGGCCCAGACUCCUACGGGAGGCAGCAGUGGGGAAUUUUGGACAAUGGGGGCAACCCUGAUCCAGCCAUGCCGCGUGCGGGAAGAAGGCCUUCGGGUUGUAAACCGAUUUUGUUCGGGAAGAAAUCCUCUGGGCUAAUACCCCGGGGGGAUGACGGUACCGGAAGAAUAAGCACCGGCUAACUACGUG
RNAcentral lists this ribosomal RNA (484 nucleotides) under uncultured bacterium. Its description in RNAcentral is "partial 16S ribosomal RNA". It matches the Rfam family "Bacterial small subunit ribosomal RNA", at positions 29 to 507 of the family's 1533-position model. The record is from RNAcentral.